GAACCAAAAAUGAUAAGUCUAAUCAAUACCUAAAGAGAAAAUAUCAUAUAAAUCCCAAAUAGGAAUCAGAGUUCUCAACCAAAAGUCCCUGAUCUACAAUAAACGCAUAGCAAAACUACUAUAAAAAAGAAAUAUCGACAUAAUCAACCAAAAUAUGAACCAAAACCUCAAAUCCCAGAAGUAUCCAUAACAAUGACUAUAAACUACAUGACAUUGCCAGCUAAAUUACCUGAAAUAAGCAAGAAAUUGGUUAUCGAAAUGGCAUGGCGAAGCUAAUCCAAGCA
RNAcentral lists this long non-coding RNA (284 nucleotides) under Elaeis guineensis (African oil palm). RNAcentral's name for it is "long non-coding RNA (EGUI_LNC002709)". The record is from RNAcentral. Lineage: Eukaryota; Viridiplantae; Streptophyta; Magnoliopsida; Arecales; Arecaceae.